AAGUCGUAACAAGGUUUCCGUAGGUGAACCUGCGGAAGGAUCAUUACCGAGUGAGGGCCCUCUGGGUCCAACCUCCCACCCGUGUUUAUUUUACCUUGUUGCUUCGGCGAGCCUGCCUUUUGGCUGCCGGGGGACGUCUGUCCCCGGGUCCGCGCUCGCCGAAGACACCUUAGAACUCUGUCUGAAGAUUGUAGUCUGAGAUUAAAUAUAAAUUAUUUAAAACUUUCAACAACGGAUCUCUUGGUUCCG
RNAcentral lists this unclassified non-coding RNA (249 nucleotides) under Penicillium brevicompactum. Its description in RNAcentral is "partial internal transcribed spacer region". The stretch from base 1 to 46 matches the Rfam family "Eukaryotic small subunit ribosomal RNA", at positions 1786 to 1831 of the family's 1831-position model. The record is from RNAcentral. RNAcentral also lists the same sequence under 3 other names. Lineage: Eukaryota; Fungi; Ascomycota; Eurotiomycetes; Eurotiales; Aspergillaceae.